UGCUGGCUUUGCAUUUCUCUUUCCUCCAAAAUCACUGAGGCCUCAAUUUACUCACUGCUGAAAAAGGAGGAUUCUGUGUAUUUUUAAAUUAAGAAUGUUGUUUUUACCUAAAUCAAUCUGGCCUGGCAUAUGACAACAUAAAAAAACUCAAGGAUAUAAAAACUCACCAAAAAACCGCCCAAAACUCACCAACCAAACAAAUAAUUAUGCUGAACACCCUUGGGCACUCUCUAAUUGGAUGUCCUGGGUCCUCCCAAUUCUUAGUCCUUUAAUACCUGUUUUUCUUCUUCUCUUAUUCAGACCUUGUGUCUUUCGUUUAGUUUCUCAAUUCAUACAAAACCGCAUCCAGGCCAUCACCAAUAAUUCUAUACAACAAAUGCUUCUUCUGACAACUCCACAAUAUCACUCCUUACCCCAAAAUCUUUCUUCAGUUUAAUCUCUCCUACUCUAGGUUCCCACACCGCCCCUAAUCCCACUUGAAGCAGCCCUGAGAAACAUCACCUAUUAUCUCUCCAUACCACCCCCCCAAAUUUUUGCUGCCCCAACACUUCACCACUAUUUUGUUUUGUUUUUCUUAUUAAUAUAUGAAGACAGAAAUGUCAGGCCUCUGAGCACAAGCUAAGCCAUCAUAUCCCCUGUGAACUGCGUGUAUACAUCCAGAUGGCUUGAAGCAACUGAAGAUCCACAAAAGAAGUGAAAAUAGCCUUAACUGAUGACAUUCCACCAUUGUGAUUUGUUCCUGCCCUACCCUAACUGAAAAUAUAUAUUCUCCCCCACCCUUAAGAAGUGCCACUGGGUUAGAGUCUCCCCGACCAAGCUGGUCUCAGCAAGUGGUCUCCAUCAUGGGGGCUCGAAUCCAGGUUGAAGGGUCACCAGAGUGAUGGUUGGAGAACAUGGAACUAGCUGGAGGACACCUGAGUACUCUUAAAGCAAACCCCGUGUUAAUUGAAAAUGCUCAGUUACGAUUUCAUACAGAUGAACAACUGAAGACAAAAACAACAAAGGGGGAGAAAGAGGGAUUAUGGGACAGCCCAUAUACAAUUGAAUCUAGCAUUAUUAACUUUAAAUUUUUUGAGUCUGCCUAAAGGCCAGAUGUUAUCAGCAGCUGAACAGCAUUUACAGAAACCGGCUGCAAAGACAGAAGCAGAACAACUGGUUUGGUGGAGAGAUCCGAUAACAAAAAGUUGGGAAAUAGGUAAAAUAAUAACUUGGGGUAGAGGUUAUGUUUGUGUUUCUCCAGGCCAAAAUCAAUAACCAAUUUGGAUACCAUCAAGACACCUGAAACCUUAUCAUGAGCCAGAUGCUGAGGAAGAGAUUCCAGGAGGAUCCUGAGGACCCCCUGGUUGCAGCCACGUCGAGGCUGACACUGAGGAGGACCCCAACUGUCAUGAGCAACACCCGUCGAACACAGCCAUCCACCUGGGGACAAAUCAAGAAGCUGUCACAGAUGAUGGAAGAAAACCUGAGGAAAGCGGGACAACCAAUCACAAUGAGUAAUUUGGUGAUCUAUCACAGUGAUGAUCACCAUUGCCAUGAGUAUUCCUUCAACAAGGGCUGACACAGAGAACAAUUAUACUUAUUGGGCAUAUUUAUCAAUCUUGUCUGGCAAUAAUGCCUAGAUGAUUUCACUCUAUGGCACAGUUACACAUGCUUUCUGAUCUCAGUAUUUACCAUAAUAAAUCUGCUCCUAUAAUUGAGGCAUACCACCCUCAAAAACCUAUUUGUAAACAAAAUAGAACCUGGCCAGAAAUAAUGAACAACUUGUUUAGUAAGAUUGCAUUGCAGAACAGGCAGAGAUGCUACGCAAUGAUUCCUAUGGGAUCAUUGAUUGGUCCCCUAAGGGGAUGUUUAGCUUAAAUUGCACCUCUCAGUCUGCAUGCCAUGGCCACACUAGUUCAGAUGGUCUGAACAAAGUGGUCAGAUGGCAGAAAUGAUAAGAAGUAUGGCAAAAGUUCCUAUUGUCUGGAACCAUGGCAGUAUAGUGUCACCUCAACCUCAAAUGAUAUGGCUCAUUGUAGGAGCUAAACAUAAGGAUUUGUGGAAACUAUUAAUAGCUCUUAAUAAGAUCAAAAUUUGGGAAAGAAUAAAAAAAGCAUCUAGAAAGACACUCUACAAACUUGUCUUUGGAUAUUACAAAAUUAAAAGAACAAAUAUUUAAAGCAUCCCAGGUACACCUGACCUUAAUGACAGAAACUGGAGUGCUUGAAGGAGCUGCAGACAGAUUAGCAGCUAGUAACCCAUUAAAAUGGAUAAAAACACUUGGAAGCUCUGUGAUUUCAAUGAUGAUUGUGCUUUUAAUCGGUAUUGUUUGUCUUUGUAUAGUGUGCAGAUGUGGAUCCUGACUCCUGUGAGAAGUAGCUCACAGUGUCAAAGCUGCCUUUGCUUUUAUCGAUUUGCAAAUCAAAUAAGGGGGACAUAUUGGGAACAGCACCCCCCCCCCCAAAAUCUGGCCAUAAACUGGUCCCAAAACUGGCCAUAAACAAAAUCUCUGCAGCACUGACAUGUUCAUGAUGGUCUUAAUGCCCACGCUGGAAGGUUGUGGGUUUACCAGAAUGAGAGCAAGGAACACCUGGCCCACCCAGGGUGGAAAACCACUUAAAGGCAUUCUUAAACCACAAACAAUAGCAUGAGUGAUCUGUGCCUUAAGGCUGUGCUACUGCUGCAGAUAACUAGCCCAACCCAUCCCUUUAUUUCAGCCCAUCCCUUCGUUUCCCAUAAGGGAUACUUUUAAUUAAUCUAAUAUGUAUAGAAAGAAUGCUAAUGACUGGCUUGCUGUUAAUAAAUAACGUGGGUAAAUCUCUGUUGGAGGCUCUCAGCUCUGAAGGCUGUGAGACCCCGGAUUUCCCACUUCAC
This 2853-nucleotide long non-coding RNA is filed under the name Homo sapiens (human). RNAcentral describes it as "HSALNT0297685". The record is from RNAcentral. Lineage: Eukaryota; Metazoa; Chordata; Mammalia; Primates; Hominidae.